This 468-nucleotide ribosomal RNA is filed under the name uncultured bacterium. RNAcentral describes it as "partial 16S ribosomal RNA". It matches the Rfam family "Bacterial small subunit ribosomal RNA", at positions 28 to 507 of the family's 1533-position model. The record is from RNAcentral.
GACGAACGCUGGCGGCGUGCUUAACACAUGCAAGUCGAACGGAAAGGCCCUGCUUUUGUGGGGUUCUCGAGUGGCGAACGGGUGAGUAACACGUGAGUAACCUGCCCUUGACUUUGGGAUAACUUCAGGAAACUGGGGCUAAUACCGGAUAGGAUCUCCUGCUGCAUGGGGGGGGUUGGAAAGUUUCGGCGGUUGGGGAUGGACUCGCGGCUUAUCAGCUUGUUGGUGGGGUAGUGGCUUACCAAGGCUUUGACGGGUAGCCGGCCUGAGAGGGUUACCGGCCACAUUGGGACUGAGAUACGGCCCAGAAUGCUACGGGAGGCAGCAGUGGGGAAUAUUGCACAAUGGGGGGAAGCGUGAUGCAGCAACGCCGCGUGCGGGAUGACGGCCUUCGGGUUGUAAACCGAUUUCGCCUGUGACGAAGAGUGAGUGACGGUAAUGGGUAAAGAAGCAACGGCUAACUACGUG